GUAGGUGAACCUGCGGAAGGAUCAUUAAUGAAACUUCAAAGUCGGCCAAAGGUUGUUGCUGGUGAUUAUUCACAUGUGCACGCCUUUGGUCGCAAAUCCACACACACCUGUGCAUCUAUGACUCGAGGUUGUAAUGACUGAGAGUAACUUUUAUACACUCUUGUAUGUAAUGGAAUGUCUUUUUGUGCUAUAAUGUACAAUAUAAACAACUUUCAACAACGGAUCUCUUGGCUCUCGCAUCGAUGAAGAACGCAGCGAAAUGCGAUAAGUAAUGUGAAUUGCAGAAUUCAGUGAAUCAUCGAAUCUUUGAACGCACCUUGCACCCUUUGGUAUUCCGAAGGGUACGCCCGUUUGAGUGUCAUUGUAAUCUCACUUCUACAACUUUAUUGUUGUUUGAAUGUGGACUUGGAUGUUGCCGUUUUAUCACGGCUCGUCUUAAAUGCCUGAGUGUACCCUGUUUUGCAGCGUAUCCAGUGUAAUAAACAUUUCACUAGAGUUGGUCGAAAGACYGCRUUGACUAUAUGGGCUCUAUGCUUCAAACCGUCUGCCAUGUGGACAAUUUCUUGACAAUUUGACCUCAAAUCGGGUGGGACUACCCGCUGAACUUAAGCAUAUCAAUAAGCGGAGGAAAAGAAACUAACAAGGAUUCCCCUAGUAACGGCGAGUGAAGAGGGAAAAGCUCAAAUUUUAAAUCUGGUGUCUUUGACUCCCGAGUUGUAAUCUAGAGAAGUGUUUUCCGUGUCGGACCGUGUACAAGUUCCCUGGAACGGGGCGUCAUAGAGGGUGAGAAUCCCGUAUAUGCCACGGACUACCGAUGCUCUGUGAUACACUCUCAACGAGUCGAGUUGUUUGGGAAUGCAGCUCAAAAUGGGUGGUAAAUUCCAUCUAAAGCUAAAUAUUGGCGAGAGACCGAUAGCGAACAAGUACCGUGAGGGAAAGAUGAAAAGCACUUUGGAAAGAGAGUGAAACAGUACGUGAAAUUGUUGAAAGGGAAGCGUUUGAAGUCAGUCGCAUCUGUUGGGGUUCAGCCUGGCUUUUGCCUGGUGUAUUUCCUUUCC
This 1058-nucleotide ribosomal RNA is filed under the name uncultured Sebacina. RNAcentral's name for it is "eukaryotic LSU rRNA". The stretch from base 573 to 1058 matches the Rfam family "Eukaryotic large subunit ribosomal RNA", at positions 1 to 482 of the family's 3401-position model. Lineage: Eukaryota; Fungi; Basidiomycota; Agaricomycetes; Sebacinales; Sebacinaceae. The record is from RNAcentral.